This 824-nucleotide long non-coding RNA is filed under the name Olea europaea subsp. europaea. The record is from RNAcentral. Lineage: Eukaryota; Viridiplantae; Streptophyta; Magnoliopsida; Lamiales; Oleaceae.
CAAUGAGAUCAGAUGCACCCGCUUUUCGCCCGACAUUUAGUGUACCACCAUCUGAACAGUUCUUAUCACCAAAGCAGGCUCCUACACGCAGGCGAGACCCCUCUCCAACGAGUGAGCCAGACAUCGCAGACUACUAUGAUCCGGAAAUGUUUCAAACCAGACGCAUGACUCGAUCAAUGUCUAUGUACUACCACCCGAAGAUUUACCCUCGGGAAUACCCUUGAGUACCUUUCAUUAGUUUUUGUUCGUGUCUUGUUUAGUGUGAUUGCAUUUCAUCUUCAAAUAUUUGUUACAAUUUACAUUUGCUGGAGGUCAGGUCCAUGCCCCCCUCCUCUAUUUGUUUUCCCGCUUUUCAUUAUAUAAAAUAAACCACACUAGUGGUAUUUGCUUAAAAAAAAAAAAAAACCCCAAACCCCUAACCCUAAACCCCUAACCCCUAAACCCUAAACCCUAAACCCUAAACCCUAAACCCUAAACCCUAAACCCUAAACCCUACCACCAUCUGAACAGUUCUUAUCACCAAAGCAGGCUCCUACACGCAGGCGAGACCCCUCUCCAACGAGUGAGCCAGACAUCGCAGACUACUAUGAUCCGAAAAUGUUUCAAACCAGACGCAUGACUCGAUCAAUGUCUAUGUACUACCACCCGAAGAUUUACCCUCGGGAAUACCCUUGAGUACCUUUCAUUAGUUUUUGUUCGUGUCUUGUUUAGUGUGAUUGCAUUUCAUCUUCAAAUAUUUGUUACAAUUUACAUUUGCUGGAGGUCAGGUCCAUGCCCCCCUCCUCUAUUUGUUUUCCCGCUUUUCAUUAUAUAAAAUAAACCAC